GACGAAGGGGGCUAGCGUUGUUCGGAAUUACUGGGCGUAAAGCGCGUGUAGGCGGUUGCCCAAGUCGGGUGUGAAAGCCUUGAGCUCAACUCAAGAAGUGCACUCGGUACUGGGUGACUAGAGGACCGGAGAGGAUAGUGGAAUUCCCAGUGUAGUGGUGAAAUACGUAGAGAUUGGGAAGAACACCAGUGGCGAAGGCGGCUAUCUGGACGGUUUCUGACGCUAAGACGCGAAAGCGUGGGGAGCAAACAGG
RNAcentral lists this ribosomal RNA (253 nucleotides) under uncultured bacterium. RNAcentral's name for it is "partial 16S ribosomal RNA". It matches the Rfam family "Bacterial small subunit ribosomal RNA", at positions 524 to 776 of the family's 1533-position model. The record is from RNAcentral.